Molecule: ribosomal RNA, 483 nt
Filed under: Enterococcus faecalis
Lineage: Bacteria; Bacillati; Bacillota; Bacilli; Lactobacillales; Enterococcaceae
Description: bacterial SSU rRNA
Rfam family: Bacterial small subunit ribosomal RNA
Source: RNAcentral
UGCAGUCGACGCUUCUUUCCUCCCGAGUGCUUGCACUCAAUUGGAAAGAGGAGUGGCGGACGGGUGAGUAACACGUGGGUAACCUACCCAUCAGAGGGGGAUAACACUUGGAAACAGGUGCUAAUACCGCAUAACAGUUUAUGCCGCAUGGCAUAAGAGUGAAAGGCGCUUUCGGGUGUCGCUGAUGGAUGGACCCGCGGUGCAUUAGCUAGUUGGUGAGGUAACGGCUCACCAAGGCCACGAUGCAUAGCCGACCUGAGAGGGUGAUCGGCCACACUGGGACUGAGACACGGCCCAGACUCCUACGGGAGGCAGCAGUAGGGAAUCUUCGGCAAUGGACGAAAGUCUGACCGAGCAACGCCGCGUGAGUGAAGAAGGUUUUCGGAUCGUAAAACUCUGUUGUUAGAGAAGAACAAGGACGUUAGUAACUGAACGUCCCCUGACGGUAUCUAACCAGAAAGCCACGGCUAACUACGUGCCAGC